This 521-nucleotide ribosomal RNA is filed under the name uncultured bacterium. RNAcentral's name for it is "bacterial SSU rRNA". It matches the Rfam family "Bacterial small subunit ribosomal RNA", at positions 376 to 891 of the family's 1533-position model. The record is from RNAcentral.
GGGAACCCUGACGCAGCCAUGCCGCGUGAAUGAAGAAGGCCUUAGGGUUGUAAAGUUCUUUCGGUAUCGAGGAAGGUUGAUGUGUUAAUAGCACAUCAAAUUGACGUUAAAUACAGAAGAAGCACCGGCUAACUCCGUGCCAGCAGCCGCGGUAAUACGGAGGGUGCGAGCGUUAAUCGGAAUAACUGGGCGUAAAGGGCACGCAGGCGGUUAUUUAAGUGAGGUGUGAAAGCCCCGGGCUUAACCUGGGAAUUGCAUUUCAGACUGGGUAACUAGAGUACUUUAGGGAGGGGUAGAAUUCCACGUGUAGCGGUGAAAUGCGUAGAGAUGUGGAGGAAUACCGAAGGCGAAGGCAGCCCCUUGGGAAUGUACUGACGCUCAUGUGCGAAAGCGUGGGGAGCAAACAGGAUUAGAUACCCUGGUAGUCCACGCUGUAAACGCUGUCGAUUUGGGGGUUGGGGUUUAACUCUGGCGCCCGUAGCUAACGUGAUAAAUCGACCGCCUGGGGAGUACGGCCGCAA